Molecule: ribosomal RNA, 165 nt
Filed under: Fleroya rubrostipulata
Lineage: Eukaryota; Viridiplantae; Streptophyta; Magnoliopsida; Gentianales; Rubiaceae
Description: 5.8S ribosomal RNA
Rfam family: 5.8S ribosomal RNA
About the family: 5.8S ribosomal RNA (5.8S rRNA) is a component of the large subunit of the eukaryotic ribosome. It is transcribed by RNA polymerase I as part of the 45S precursor that also contains 18S and 28S rRNA.
Source: RNAcentral
CCAAACGACUCUCGGCAACGGAUAUCUCGGCUCUCACAUCGAUGAAGAACGUAGCAAAAUGCGAUACUUGGUGUGAAUUGCAGAAUCCCGUGAACAAUCGAGUUUUUGAACGCAAGUUGCGCCCGAAGCCGUCAGGCCAAGGGCACGUCUGCCUGGGCGUCACGC